RNAcentral lists this ribosomal RNA (188 nucleotides) under uncultured Pseudomonadota bacterium. RNAcentral's name for it is "uncultured proteobacterium partial 16S ribosomal RNA". It matches the Rfam family "Bacterial small subunit ribosomal RNA", at positions 338 to 517 of the family's 1533-position model. Lineage: Bacteria; Pseudomonadati; Pseudomonadota. The record is from RNAcentral.
CCUACGGGAGGCAGCAGUGGGGAAUAUUGGACAAUGGGCGCAAGCCUGAUCCAGCAAUACCGCGUGUAUGAAGAAGGCCCGAGGGUUGUAAAGUACUUUCAAUUGUGAAGAGGGGAUAGUUAGUUAAUAGCAUUCUAUCCUGACGUUAACUUUAGAAGAAGCACCGGCUAAUUCAGUGCCAGCAGCCG